AUUUAAGUAGCUUAUUAGAGCAUGAUAUUGAAGAUAUCAAGGAAAUAUUUUUUAUUUUUAAAUA
Molecule: transfer RNA, 64 nt
Filed under: Thesaurus albertalleni
Lineage: Eukaryota; Metazoa; Arthropoda; Insecta; Coleoptera; Cucujidae
Description: tRNA-Phe
Source: RNAcentral